AGAAGGGUAGAGGAAUAGGUCAACUCAUCAGGCUCAUAACUUGAAGGUUGCAGGUCCAAUCCUGUCCCCACCUA
This 74-nucleotide transfer RNA is filed under the name Solanum lycopersicum (tomato). It matches the Rfam family "tRNA". Rfam says of the family: Transfer RNA (tRNA) molecules are approximately 80 nucleotides in length. Their secondary structure includes four short double-helical elements and three loops (D, anti-codon, and T loops). The record is from Rfam by way of RNAcentral. Lineage: Eukaryota; Viridiplantae; Streptophyta; Magnoliopsida; Solanales; Solanaceae.